This 422-nucleotide ribosomal RNA is filed under the name Bathypalaemonetes chani. RNAcentral's name for it is "partial 16S ribosomal RNA". It matches the Rfam family "Archaeal large subunit ribosomal RNA", at positions 2009 to 2630 of the family's 2987-position model. Lineage: Eukaryota; Metazoa; Arthropoda; Malacostraca; Decapoda; Bathypalaemonellidae. The record is from RNAcentral.
CGCGGUAAUUUGACUGUGCGAAGGUAGCAUAAUCAAUAGUUCUUUAAUUGGGGGCUGGAAUGAACGGUCGGACAAGAAGCCAACUGUCUUUGCUUGAAUUAUUGAAUUUUACUUUUGAGUGAGAAGGCUCAAAUUAUUUAAAGGGACGAUAAGACCCUAUAAAACUUUAUAGAUAGGGUUUAAUUCACGAUUUAUGAGUGUAAAGCGGGCGGCGCCUACUCUAUUAUGUUGGGGCGACAGAAAUAUAAUUUUGUAACUGUUUAUUAAAUUAAAUAAUUAUUUUUAGGUUUUGCUGAUCCUUUAGUAAGGAGUAUAAGAUCAAGUUACUUUAGGGAUAACAGCGUAAUUUUUUCUGAGAGUUCUUAUUGACGAAAGUAGUUGCGACCUCGAUGUUGAAUUAAGGCUUCUUUAGUGUGCAGAAG